RNAcentral lists this ribosomal RNA (440 nucleotides) under uncultured bacterium. Its description in RNAcentral is "partial 16S ribosomal RNA". It matches the Rfam family "Bacterial small subunit ribosomal RNA", at positions 338 to 795 of the family's 1533-position model. The record is from RNAcentral.
UCUACGGGAGGCAGCAGUGGGGAAUAUUGCACAAUGGGGGAAACCCUGAUGCAGCGACGCCGCGUGAAGGAAGAAGUAUUUCGGUAUGUAAACUUCUAUCAGCAGGGAAGAAAAUGACGGUACCUGACUAACAAGCCCCGGCUAACUACGUGCCAGCAGCCGCGGUAAGACGGAGGGGGCAAGCGUUAUACGGAUUUACUGGGUGGAAAGGGAGCGUAGGCGGUUUAGCAAGUCAGAAGUGAAAGCCCGGGGCUCAACUCGGGGACUGCUUUUGAAAAUGUUGAACUUGAUUGCAGGAGAGGUAAGUGGAAUUCCUGGUGUAGCAGUGAAAUGCGUAGAUAUUAGGAGGAACACCAGUGGCGAAGGCGGCUUACUGGACUGUAAAUGACGCUGAGGCUCGAAAGCGUGGGGAGCAAACAGGAUUAGAUACCCCAGUAGUC